RNAcentral lists this ribosomal RNA (704 nucleotides) under uncultured fungus. RNAcentral's name for it is "SSU rRNA". It matches the Rfam family "Eukaryotic small subunit ribosomal RNA", at positions 392 to 1097 of the family's 1831-position model. The record is from RNAcentral. Lineage: Eukaryota; Fungi.
GAGCCUGAGAAACGGCUACCACAUCCAAGGAUGGCAGCAGGCGCGCAAAUUACCCAAUCCCGACACGGGGAGGUAGUGACAAUAAAUAACAAUACGGGGUUCUUUCGGAUCUCGUAAUUGGAAUGAGUACAAUUUAAAUCUCUUAACGAGGAACAAUUGGAGGGCAAGUCUGGUGCCAGCAGCCGCGGUAAUUCCAGCUCCAAUAGCGUAUAUUAAAGUUGUUGCAGUUAAAAAGCUCGUAGUUGAAUUUCGGGGUUAGUAGGUUGGUCAUGCCUCUGGUAUGUACUGAUCUCACUGAUUCCUCCUUCCUGAUGAACCGUAAUGCCAUUAAUUUGGUGUUGCGGGGAAUUUGGACUGUUACUUUGAAAAAAUUAGAGUGUUUAAAGCAAGCUAACGCUUGAAUACAUUAGCAUGGAAUAAUGAAAUAGGACGUUCGAUCCUAUUUUGUUGGUUUCUAGGAUUGACGUAAUGAUUAAUAGGGAUAGUUGGGGGCAUUAGUAUUCAAUUGUCAGAGGUGAAAUUCUUGGAUUUAUUGAAGACUAACUACUGCGAAAGCAUUUGCCAAGGAUGUUUUCAUUAAUCAAGAACGAAAGUUAGGGGAUCGAAGACGAUCAGAUACCGUCGUAGUCUUAACCAUAAACUAUGCCGACUAGGGAUCGGAUGAUGUUAAUUUUUUAAUGACUCAUUCGGCGCCUUACGGGAAA